ACAGACAAGGCUUUACAUGGAUUUAUGGAUGCGUGCAAGCUGUAACAUGUUAUUUCAUGGGCAUUGCGAGACAUCUCAUCUGUCACAUGAUAAGAGGAACAGGAAUGGUGAACGCUAUUUUACUACAGUUCCAAGGCGAGGUGCCAGACCUCAUUCCAACGGGAAACAAUGGAGCGCAUAUUCCCCCACGUUGUACCUUUGAUGCCGUGUCAACACUUCCUUCUCUGGAUUUGAAAUACCCACAUACCAGACUGUCAGCGGGAGAAUGUUACUCAGUCGCCCACGCAGGCCGCGGAGCAGUUGUGAGGUGCCUUUAUUGCACAACUUCCAUUUUAUGCUAUUCGUGAAUCGUACUUUUAGUCCAAAAUGACACGUAUGACAGCUUUAGCAGCCUAGUUACAUGUUUUACAUGGUCCAAAGCUACAGCUAACUUGUUAAUGGUGGGAUUUAGGCAUGCUGAUCGAUGGGUUAGCUUUGGACGGAACCAUGCUAGCCUUUUCCCGCUUUUCUGGUCCUUGUGAUGAGCUAAGCUAACUAGCUGCUAGCUGUCAUUCCAUAUUUUGCCUACAAAUUAAGUAGUACCACUCUUCUCACCAAGAAAAGCAAAAUAAGUAAGUCCCAAAAUGUUGAAUUGUUCCUUUAAAUUAAUUUAUUUUAAGUGUCUAAAUACUUCUUCACCCACUGCAUGCCGUUCGCUCCCGACUCAACCUGUUACAGAAUGAGGCCAUAUAGGCCCAUUGUGCUCCAGCAUAAUGCACAGAACAUCACAUAUUCUGCUUUUAGUAAUAAUCACCGGCAAUAUUGUUAUUAAUUGCAUCCACAUGUGUUCACAUGAGCUGCGCCCAUGGCUGGUUUAAUUUAGCAGUUGGCCGGUUCCUGUAUCCUCAUGGUAGCCGUUUGUCUCCUCCAUUGUCUCUGCAGUCGUUGGUCACUAUUAAUUUCCUCAACUAUGAUAACUGGCAAACAUGGAAGGGUUUGAAAUGAACUAAACGCCCGCAUCCCUAGUGAAAAGUACUUCUCGGCCUGGUGUUGUUUGAUAUGUGUAAAUCAUGGCAUCAGUGAGCGGUUGAAGUCUACAUCUGCAGGAAAUACUGACAUGCAAUGUGGUCUGCUGACUCGCUCCCACUGUAUUUGUUUCCCCGCCGUUCAGUUGCCGAGUCAUUCCGCAAGCAGCAGCAUUACCGUAUUACAUGCCUUCUCAUAUACAUCCAGUCAAGAUUCAUCACUCUCCUCCCCUGUGACAUGAUCUCCUGGCAAAUAGACAUGAAAACACCCUCUCGUAGAAGAUAAGGGGAGACAACCAGACAUUCGCCUUGGAUUGCGAAGAACUCUACCGUGGUAUUGCCACGUACGAUUUUGUGUGCGGUCAAGAACCCACACAUACAUGCACACACACUCGUCGGUGUAAACUUGGCAGACAGCGAAGACUCCUCAGAGCCUGGACCUCGUACAGCAUGGACCACGCCACAGCGACAAAGUGCUUCUCCAGUGUGCUGGCAGCCACAGAUGCAUUGCUCAGACAUCGACGGAGUUUUGUGUAAACCAAACAGAAUUUGUUAUUCAUCCAGCUCCUUCUCAUGCAAAUCUUGGAGACAGUUUCCUCCACUACUUCCAGGUAGGGAUUACUUAAUAAAUGCUAAUUGGGGAGAGAGUUCUGCUGGUGGAGGAUUCUUUGCUGUUGGAGACACAUAAUGGAAGCAACAGAAACACGCAGAGAGAUUAAUUGAAACGGUGAUGUAAGGCCAAACAGACAAAUAGAAAAACAGACAAACAAAAUAAAAAUAAGUUUAUGAGUUGGGUCCCCAAUCAAAGUAAUGUUUGGAAUCAAUGCCACAGUACAAAAAGCACGGGCUGCAAAUCCAUUACCUAUAUUGCAGACUUUUAAAGGACAUUUUGUUCACCUGGACUGUGGACAGCAGAAUCUCUUAAUUAGGCAUUGCUCUAUUUUAGGAACACUAAGAAAUCACAUUCAUGGAGCCACUAAUGCUGCAUAAACUUGGCAACAUUGCGUUUCUUCAAUCACGGAGUACGUGUAAAUUCUUGCAUAUCAGUCUUGACAUUUCCUAUAUUAAAAGGACACAGUUGAUCAUCUAGAUGGCAGUCGGCCCUGUGACCUCCCCCGAGCUAUUAGUGUUGGCUAAAGUCUCACGUUUUUUCUUUGUUCUCCCAGAGAGCCAAACCAUAGAUUCUAAUUUCACCACAUGUUUCUCUUGGGUCCUGGAAACCUUUCACAUAAACACACAUUAUGUUUAGGUGUUGCAUGAAAGGUCCCCACAGUCUUGUAACACAUUCGACAAAGCAGAUCGCGUUGCAAAAAGCAAAAUGCGUUACAAUCAAUGCUGGCAGUGAUCCGCUUUGUCCAUUUUUAAUAAUUCACCAGCAGCACAGAGAGGGAAUCAUUUCUACACCAUAGAGGCGGACAACAAAUGCAUGUCACACGGUUGCUCACGAUGGAGGAGGCUUACCAAGGUCACUUGGUCAUAUAAAAUACUGUAAUCUGUAUUGAAAUGGUAAAAAUGUAUCAAAUAACAAGGUGAAACCACCCUUGCAAUGAUGAAUCCAUGAAAAAAAGGAUCAGUAUCACACUUGUCUUUGCUUUAAGGACCACCAAGAGUUUCA
Molecule: long non-coding RNA, 2619 nt
Organism: Gasterosteus aculeatus aculeatus (three-spined stickleback)
Lineage: Eukaryota; Metazoa; Chordata; Actinopteri; Perciformes; Gasterosteidae
Source: Ensembl